UGGCGGGUGAAAGCAGCAGUGAGCGGAGCGGUGAGAAAUACAGAGAGAGUUAUAAUAGCGGUUAUUAACACUGACUGUCCAUUAGAGAAUCCUGAGCUGAGGCAGCGGGGGUGUGCGGGGAUCCGGGAGCGAGGAGGAGGCCCGACUUUUGGCAGCGUCGUCUUGGCGAGUUGCCGAGUGAAUGAGCGCUCGCGCAUGCGCACUGUAUUAGCCCCACAGUGAGUUGAUAGGAGAGGCGCAGAAAAACGCGGCUUUGCUCCAUGAACACUUGAACUUGGCUUAUCAUUACUGUUCACUGUUUCUGUUAACUUUAAGAGACUGGGUUUUUGAGAAUCAUUAGAACUGGAUCUGGAUUUCUCCUGUUGAUGGGAGAUGGCGAGCCCCCAGUGAGAUCUCUCCUUAAUUGGAGGAGUGAGGAACCAAGGCUGAAGAGGACACCACAUCCCUUCUGCGCUUUCACUUCUGUAUCAGUGUGCACGCAUGUGCGAGAUCUUCUUCGGGUCUUAAGCGGUUGGCAGCCUUCAGCGCAUUUGACUGAGUGAGAGCAGCGUACUCAGCCAACCAUUUUUUUUUUUUUCAGUGUAUCGUACCACAAGCAUUGACCUGAUUGUCCAGGGAAACAAGGACUAAAUGUAGCACCUGUCUGGGAGCGUUUCAACCACAGCUGCUUGUGAGGAAUACAAUAACUCUGAAGGCUUAAGUGCAAUUACAGCUGGGUCACGGUUACCAAAAUCAUUGCAGGCUUGAGACAGCGUUUUUGAUUGGCUUCUAGCAGCAUUGCUGAGGAUGAAGAAAUGGCAGAAGAUGUCCCUGACAUUCCUGUUGAUGUUUGUGAAUUGGAGGAUGGCUUCUCUGACGAGGACGUCUCUAUGGAGAUAGAGGAGGUUGAUUCUGAUGGUAGUAGCUGGGACAGUGGAGACGACUCCAUUCAAACUAUCCAGUCCAAGUGGGACAAAGCAUGCAUCAUGUCAGACUUAAAUACAGAUGUUGAAAUGCAGGAGAAUCCAGUUAGAGAAUGUAAAAGACCAAGACGGCUCAGAGAGUCAUCAUCAUCACUAUCUGAGGAGGAGGAUGAUCCUGAACACCUAAGAAGACCUCCCCCUUUACCUUUGCAGGGUUCCUACGCAGUAUGGAAAAGUAUGGAAUUUGAUUUUAGUAUUUUCCAGGUCUGGAAAAGUAUGGAAAAUGGAAAUUAGGGUAUGGAGAAAUAUUUGUGUUUCCAGACCUUUGCCGCUACAUAGUAAAAUGAAGCUCAACAUUCCGACAUUCAGUUGAAUUUUGCCAAAGAAAUGUGUUGAAAUGCGGAGGGAGGGAAACGGGUGUUCUUUUGUACUGGCAUGCGCUCCGCCACACCCCCUGAACCUGCUUGCUUCUUGCAAGACUUUGGAAAAGACGCAGGAAAAACCCCCUGCUACAAAAGGCCUCUUGAACACGCGUGAACACACAUCAUAGCUCCAGUCAGUGUGAAAUGCUUAUGGCUUAUUUGGCAGUGUUGCCAGAAUUUGCUAGAAAAAUAAGGCACACGGACCCUGAAAACAAGCGACCCAAGACAAAAAAAACUGCCAACAAAAAUAUGAAGGCUGUGUACGCAAACGUACAUAUAAACAAGUUACAACUCUGAAUCACCAUCCCCAAAACCCGCCACUUCUGAUUUUUUUUUUAAGCGACAAAAAAGCAAGCCCAAAGCCGCUUAUAACAAGAAUAGGCAACCCACGUACGUAGAUCAACGUAGGCUACGUUAGGCAUAGCCUACCACCAGAGAGAGGAAUGUAAACUCAGCAAUGGGUAAAUGCACGUUUUCUGAUGGAUGGCUAUCCAAACCAGAAUACACAGCUUGGCUGAGAAAAGAUCCCAAAUGGCAAAGUAAGGCUAAAUGCAAGCUUUGUAUAAAAUCAUUUGAUAUUUCCAACAUGGGGGAGGCGGCGAUUUUAAGUCACAUGAAGGGGAAGAAGCACCAGCACUUGGUCACAGCAUCAUCGUCGAACGUUUCAACUUCUUUUUUUUACUCAGUCGAAAGUGGGGCCAAGAACAACAGAAACGCCAAGCAAUGCACUCCUUCAGGCAACAAAUGAUGAACGAGCCACAGCUACAUCCUGUAGCUCAAUGAGGACCUUUGCGAUUGGAUGUGAGGUUCUGUCUGCGGAAGUGUUGUGGGUACUUGAUGUUAUGGAAAAGCACGGCUCCUUCAACAGCUGCUCAGGGAAGAGUGACCUUUUUCAUCUUAUGUUUCCAAACAGCAACGUUGCCUCAAAAUUCAGCUGUGGAGAUGACAAAGCAGCUUACUUGACAACCUUUGGUAUUGCACCACAUUUCUCAUCUUUACUUUUGUCCAAAGUUAAAUCUGCUACUGACUAUGUUUUACUUUUUGAUGAGAUUUUGAACCGUCCACUCUGAGCGAAACAGCUUGAUGUGCAUGUAAGGUUUUGGGAUGGAGACUUUGUCAGGUCAAGAUACUUGGACUCUUUUUCUUGGGCAUGCAUAUGCUGCAGACCUCCACUCACAACUAAGGGCCAGCUGCAACAGUGUUGGAAUACAGUCUUUUACAGAUAUCAAUGGAUGGUCCAAAUGUAAAUUGGAAAUUGUUUGACACGCUGUCUAAGGACUUGGAAGAGGAGACUGGGUCCAAGCUCCUCAACAUAGGGAGUUGUGGGCUACAUAUACUGCAUGAUGCAUUUCAAGCUGGCAGCUAUGCAACAACUUGGGAUGCUCUUAACAGUCUUUAUUGGCUUUUUAAGGACUCCCCAGCCAGACGUGAGGAUUACACCUCAGUAACAGGUUCAGCUGUCUUCACCCUGAAAUACUGUAAACAUAGAUGGCUAGAAAAUGUUCCAGUCCUUGAAAGAGCCAUUACGAUAUGGCCACAAAUUCAGGCAUAUGUAGCUGCGGUAAAUGCUUCAAAAGUGUCACACCCAAAGAACAAGUCCUUUGAGUCUGUGAUGAAGGCUUGCACCGACCCUUUGUUUCUCGUCAGAGCCAAUAUCUUUUUCAAUUGCGCAAGAGUGUCAUCCUUUCCUUUUAAAAUAUCAAGCCGAUAAGCCUGUGCUGCCUUUCCUGGCUGACGAUCUUUUCACCACAGUGAAGCAUCUUCUCCAGAGGUUUGUCACAGAUGACACUCUUGAGAGAGUGAACAGCCCCAUGAAGCUCGUCUCUGAGGACUUUAAAGAUGUAGCAAAUCACAAGGACACCUCGCGGAUCAACAUAGGAUUUGUUGCAGACAAACUAACAACUGAAAGACAUGAAGAUUAGAAAAAAAGUUUCUGAGCGAGAUGUCUUUUUGGUCAGAAAAGAAACUAAAGACUUCCUCGUCACAGCAGUGACGAAGCUACUGGAGAAGUGCCCUCUAAGGUACACACUGGUAAGAAACCUUGCAUGGCUAGAUCCACAGAAGAUAAGAGAAAAGCCUGACAUUUGUGAAAAGCAACUGAGGCAGUGCCUACAUGUAAUCUCCAGUGCUGGACACGUCCGAGAGAACCGGUGUGACCAGAUCCUUCAUCGGUUCAAGGAUUUUGUGGUUGUCUGCAAAACGAAUGAUGAUGCCAUACAGUGGCCCACUGGUGCCUACUCCAGAUUGGACACGUUUUUUCAUGCACUGCUCUCCAAGGAGCCGGGAAUGAAAGAUCUGUGGACUCUUGUUCAGAAAGUUCUCCUCCUCUCCCACGGUCAGGCCUCAAUAGAAAGAGGAUUUUCCAUAAAUAAGAACAUUGUUGUCACAAAUAUGAGGGAAAGAACAGUGGUGGCUCAGAGGGUCAUAGUAGACCACCUCCAUUAUGUGGGUGGGGUAGGUAGUGUGACUAUGACAAAGGAACUUCUACAUUCUGCAUCAUGUGCAAGGCAACACUACCAUGCAUUCCUUAAUGAUGAAAAGAAGGAGGAGGAGCAUGGACAACAAGCACUGAAAAGAAAGGCAGCGCAGGAUGAACUGGACCAAUUGAAGAGAAAAAGAAAGCAGAUUCAGACUAACAUAAAAGCACUUCUCACAUCUGCAGAUGAGUUGGCAGUGGAAGCGGAAGCUACUGAGGACAUGUCCACCCUGAGCAAAUCUAAUGCCUUCAGACAAGCAGCGAAAGAAAAAGAGAAGGAAGUAGAGAAAUGUGACAAAGAAAUUUUUCUUUUCAAUGUAAUAAAGAGCUGAGUAUUUAGUGUGUGAUUUAAGUAUGUUUGUGAGUGCAUGUGUGAAUAUGUCUGUUAGCAUGUUUUCUUAUGAAAGAUUGUGAGGAUUCUGCUCCAUCUCCAGUUCCAUCACUCAGUUUUCAGUGCUACAGAGAUUAUUUUUCAUUGUAAGUGACACAUCUGUGAGUGCAUGAGUGAAUGUGUUACCAUGUUUUCUUAUGAAAGAUUAUUGUGAGGAUUCUGCUCCAUCUCUAGUUCCAUCACUCAGUUUUCAGUGCUACAGAGAUUAUUUUUCAUUGUAAGUGACACAUCUAUGAGUGAAUGUGUUACCAUGUUUUCUUAUGAAAGAUUGUGAGGAUUCUGCUCCAUCUCUAGUUCCUUCACUCAGUGUUGACUGCAACGGAGAUUAUUUUCCAUUGUAAGUGACAGAAUUUUGACUUUUAUGCAAGAAAAUUGUGCUCAUGAUCCAGAGGUUGAAAAAUAAAUGUCAACAAAGUUCCUUUA
This is a long non-coding RNA of Neoarius graeffei (lesser salmon catfish), 4614 nucleotides long. RefSeq lists it as uncharacterized. The transcript is spliced from 9 exons. NCBI's taxonomy places the organism in Eukaryota, Metazoa, Chordata, Actinopteri, Siluriformes, Ariidae. The record is from RefSeq and is a predicted model, not a curated record.